ACUUUCGAUGGUAGGAUAGAGGCCUACCAUGGUGGUAACGGGUAACGGGGUGUUAGGGCACGACACCGGAGAGGGAGCCUGAGAAACGGCUACCACAUCCAAGGAUGGCAGCAGGCGCGCAAAUUACCCAAUCCCGACACGGGGAGGUAGUGACAAUAAAUAACAAUACGGGGUUCUUUCGGAUUUCGUAAUUGGAAUGAGUACAAUUUAAAUCUCUUAGCGAGGAACAAUUGGAGGGCAAGUCUGGUGCCAGCAGCCGCGGUAAUUCCAGCUCCAAUAGCGUAUAUUAAAGUUGCUGCAGUUAAAAAGCUCGUAGUUGAAUUUCGGGACCAAUAUGUCGGUCGUGCCUCGGUACGUACUGGCAUCGUUGGUUUCUCCCUUCUGACGAACCAUGAUGUCAUUCAUUUGGUGUCGUGGGGAAUCAGGACUGUUACUUUGAAAAAAUUAGAGUGUUUAAAGCAGGCUCACGCUUGAAUACAUUAGCAUGGAAUAAUGAAAUAGGACGUUUGAUUCUAUUUUGUUGGUUUCUAGGAUCGACGUAAUGAUUAAUAGGGAUAGUUGGGGGCAUUAGUAUUCAAUUGUCAGAGGUGAAAUUCUUGGAUUUAUUGAAGACUAACUACUGCGAAAGCAUUUGCCAAGGAUGUUUUCAUUAAUCAAGAACGAAAGUUAGGGGAUCGAAGACGAUCAGAUACCGUCGUAGUCUUAACCAUAAACUAUGCCGACUAGGGAUCGGAUGAUGUUAAUUUUUUAAUGACUCAUUCGGCGCCUUACGGGAAACCAAAGUGUUUGGGUUC
RNAcentral lists this ribosomal RNA (794 nucleotides) under uncultured Glomus. Its description in RNAcentral is "SSU rRNA". It matches the Rfam family "Eukaryotic small subunit ribosomal RNA", at positions 318 to 1114 of the family's 1831-position model. Lineage: Eukaryota; Fungi; Glomeromycota; Glomeromycetes; Glomerales; Glomeraceae. The record is from RNAcentral.